Thunnus maccoyii (southern bluefin tuna) is the source of this 1566-nucleotide long non-coding RNA. RefSeq lists it as uncharacterized. The transcript is spliced from 3 exons. The record is from RefSeq and is a predicted model, not a curated record. Lineage: Eukaryota; Metazoa; Chordata; Actinopteri; Scombriformes; Scombridae.
CAAAUCACCAAGGAAACCACGUCCACUGCAGUGGCCUCAAACUGUGCGGCCCUGCCCACACCUCUGACCGUGCAUCAUGGGAUCAAUAAUGUUAGAUGAGACACUGUGAAAUGAGGUAAAAUGUAGGCAUAGCCGGUUCUCUCCAAAUAGGAGAGAUUGAAUGAGUGGUUAAUGCAGGUGUGCAGGCUGAACUCCAAGGUGUAGCUCCACCAGUACCGUCCACACCAUUAAUGGUUUCAACACCACUGGUGCCCAGUGCCUCAGGCACUUCCAACUUUGCCACCACCGUCAUAUCACUGAGAUCAAGAAGGAGCUUGGGGAACAUCUUAACGCCAGGAACCUCAGAAAGAAGAAAAGGUGUUUAUCCUGACAUUGAAUCCUGGACACAUCCUAGCCUUUACAACGGGAAGCAGCAAAGUUCCUGCAGUUGGAUUUCUUCCCAGUCCAAAACUGACUUUUGUUCAUGAUAACAGAGCUUUGUUAACAGAAAGAAUCUGUCGGAUGACAAUGAAUUUGAUUACAAUUUUCUGCUGGCUCUCAUGAAUGGAUCCGGUUUUAAUGCAGUCUAAUCUAUAAAAAAAAACAAUGCGUGGAUUGUACAUUUGGAACCGAGAGCUUUUAAAGGAUGGACAUCAGGUUUACAAGCUGAGAAUCUGGUGUAGCAUGUUCUUUGAGUUGUUAAAACUGUUAAAACGUUGUUUCUCCUAAACUCUGAUCUGAACUACAGUCAGUCAGCAUGCUAUAUUCUCCUGUAAAAACAUUAUCAAUGUGUUCUCAAUAGUGUAAAAUGACACAGUAAUUCCUUCAUCAACUUUCUAUUUCUUUGAAUGCAUUUCCAAGAAAGAAAAGAUUUAACAGGAGCUCUGUGUCCUUCAGAGGAAUUUUCACCUUUCGCCUUGCUGAUGGCUGAACUCAAGAGGUUCAUAACAGUUUCACCCCGAUUGUUGUUGGAACACUGGAGAAAUGUUAACAUUCUACUGUAACCAACCAUUGCGCUAUGUACAACUAGUUUCCAUCUUAUCAGUUUAUGAUUGCCGUCUACGUGCCAUAUAUAGUUUGGACAAGGCACAGUGUAUACUAAUGUUUUGAUUAAUUUCUUGCUUUUAUGAGGUUGCACUCUUGUCAGAUUAUUAUGUCAUCAACGUGUCCAGUUGUCAGUAUUGUGCAUAUUGCAGUAUUGCUCUGUUCUCAGUUGUGUUCUCGUCUGAUUAAUAUUAACUGUUCAUUUUAGCUGUAUCAGACACAGACUAUUGUUCUUAUUCCCUUUAAUUAUUCAAAUGCAGUAUUUCAAGUAAGUGGCCAGUUCCCAUAAACAGACCAUUCCAGAAACUCUGAAUAAGCUGUGUAUGGCUUCAGUAAUGAACAUCCUGCAUUGUCCUUGUGUUCUGGUGAACAUGUACCUGGAGGAUGUGAAAUGAGAGUAUUUGCAGACCAUCAGUAUAGUGUAAUUUGUGUUAUUGGUGGCUAGCUGCGUACCUCAAAACAGAACUGAUGACAACUUUACUAUUUACCUUUUAGCUUGUUUCAGCAGUAAUUUGCACAGACAUGCAGCAGAUGUUUUAUUUG